Molecule: ribosomal RNA, 433 nt
Filed under: uncultured bacterium
Lineage: Bacteria
Description: partial 16S ribosomal RNA
Rfam family: Bacterial small subunit ribosomal RNA
Source: RNAcentral
AACGAACGCUGGCGGCAUGCCUAACACAUGCAAGUCGAACGAGACCUUCGGGUCUAGUGGCGCACGGGUGCGUAACGCGUGGGAACCUGCCCUUAGGUUCGGAAUAACUCUCCGAAAGGGGUGCUAAUACCGGAUAAUGUCUUCGGACCAAAGAUUUAUCGCCUUUGGUUGGUCCCGAGUUGGAUUAGCUAGUUGGUAGGGUAAAAGCCUACCAAGGCGACGAUCCAUAGCUGGUCUGAGAGGAUGAUCAGCCACACUGGGACUGAGACACGGCCCAGACUCCUACGGGAGGCAGCAGUGGGGAAUAUUGGACAAUGGGCGAAAGCCUGAUCCAGCAAUGCCGCGUGAGUGAUGAAGGCCUUAGGGUUGUAAAGCUCUUUUACCCGGGAUGAUAAUGACAGUACCGGGAGAAUAAGCUCCGGCUAACUCCGUG